AACACGCUCCUUAGAUCCACCUCUGGAGGGCGCUGUGCUCUGGUGCAGCCCCUCAGCAGCUUUCUGGCUGCACAGUUGGAGGUGCUUGAGUCAUUGGCGUGUGAGAACAGUCUACCUGUCCCCCAGCCCACCUGCAGCACUGACAGCCCAGUCCUACAGACAGGGAGCACCCAGUGCUGCAAACCUGGUGGACGGACACA
Small nucleolar RNA from Larimichthys crocea (large yellow croaker), 200 nucleotides. NCBI's taxonomy places the organism in Eukaryota, Metazoa, Chordata, Actinopteri, Sciaenidae. The record is from Ensembl.